RNAcentral lists this non-coding RNA (126 nucleotides) under unidentified. RNAcentral's name for it is "Candidatus Burkholderia Glycine sequence". It matches the Rfam family "Glycine riboswitch aptamer". From Rfam's summary of the family: This family represents the bacterial glycine riboswitch. The record is from RNAcentral.
UCCCCGCACUCUGGAGAGCGGCAGCGGCUUUCACCGGCAAGCUGCCCACCGAAGGGGCGCGUGAUGAACCGUCGGCAACAAGACAGUUCGCGCAAUCUCUCAGGUACCGAAGACAGAGGGGUCACG